RNAcentral lists this unclassified non-coding RNA (346 nucleotides) under soil metagenome. Its description in RNAcentral is "partial contains 5.8S ribosomal RNA, internal transcribed spacer 2, and large subunit ribosomal RNA". The stretch from base 1 to 118 matches the Rfam family "5.8S ribosomal RNA", at positions 35 to 154 of the family's 154-position model. The record is from RNAcentral.
GAUGAAACGCAGCAAAAUGCGAUAAGUAAUGUGAAUUGCAGAAUUCAGUGAAUCAUCGAAUCUUUGAACGCACAUUGCGCCCGCUGGUAUUCCGGCGGGCAUGCCUGUUCGAGCGUCAUUUCAACCCUCAAGCCCCCGGGUUUGGUGUUGGGGAUCGGCUCUGCCCUUCUGGGCGGUGCCGCCCCCGAAAUACAUUGGCGGUCUCGCUGCAGCCUCCAUUGCGUAGUAGCUAACACCUCGCAACUGGAACGCGGCGCGGCCAUGCCGUAAAACCCCAACUUCUGAAUGUUGACCUCGGAUCAGGUAGGAAUACCCGCUGAACUUAAGCAUAUCAAUAAGCGGAGGA